RNAcentral lists this unclassified non-coding RNA (1368 nucleotides) under Hevea brasiliensis (rubber tree). Lineage: Eukaryota; Viridiplantae; Streptophyta; Magnoliopsida; Malpighiales; Euphorbiaceae. The record is from RNAcentral.
CGGGGUUGCAUGGAUACAGCAUUUUCUUUUCAAUAAGAGAAAUGGGGAAGGAAAAGUUUGGGCAAAUCCAUUAAAGAUUUGGCUAUGUGCUUGAUUAAAUUGAUGGGGGAACCGGUUCUAUCAUUUAAUAUUAGCUGUAAACUGUUAAAAGUACUCAAUAUUGUACAAGCUUUGACAUUGAGCAACAAGACUUUGUCAAGAUUUGCCCAAAUGGUUCAUUUAUGUCCAUACAGAAACUAGAAGAGUUUACAAAGAAGGUAGAAGCCAAAGAUUGAAGAGAGAUGAAGCAAAUGACAGAAACCAUGACAGGAAAGCCAUAGCAGCAGACAACUGGUAUCUGCUACACAUCUUUGCAGGGCAAUAUGAAGUUCCAACAUCAAGCAGAAGAUCUGUAACACUUGCUGCUGAGCCCGCUGCUGCUAAUGAUAGAAAUGAUAAAACCUGCAAUGGAAUCAAGUGGUUAUGUAUCCUUAGCAUUUCUUGUUAUCAAAAUAGUCAUUUUUAAAGAAAGAAAACCACCGCAUACCCAAUCUCCAAUGAUAAUGGCUGAAAGAAUUUUUGGUUGAUGAGGUAAACAUUUAACAAAGACAGAAUAUAUAUCCACUAGCACCAGAGUUACGCUCCAUGGAAUUACCAAACCCAUUACAGUCACCAAAUAGCUGCACAAGAAAGGGAUAAUCAAUCAUGAAAAUCAGAAAAAAAUGGCUUGAUAAUAAAGGGCAUCUGAAUUCUAUCAUCAAAGGAAAAUUGAAAGUGGCAAAACGUAGUUCUUGUAAUUUUCAGAAGGACAAUUCUGCUGAUGAGGCUAAAAGAAAUUCACUUUUUAUUUGUAUUUAUCUCACAUAGUUGAUUUCAAUAGUUCUUUGGCGAAUCCAUAAAUUUCAUUGGCAAGAAACAGUAUAAUAAGGAUAGUGAUCAGCGUGAGAGAAAUUUGGGGAAAAAAAAUUGCAGUUGAUUCCAAGCAAAGGGGAUUCACUUCUUACCAGAGCUACAAGGAAAAUAUCAACAGUUUCCAUAUAAAAUGCAACAUCGACAUAAUCAAGCCAAGCUCUGAACCCUGGUAUCCUGGGCAAUCCACUACUAGAAAACACAAAAGCCUCAUCAUCAUCAAACUAAGGAGGCUACAAUUACAGGUCUCAUCUGGAAAGAAGGCCCUAAUAAGUACAAGGUCCCUCUAAAGCUGUUUGAAACGUUUUCCAACAUUUAUAUCCCAAAUGGGUUUAAAUUUAUAUAUGAUGAGGCCAGUGAAAUUUUCAACAUGUUUAAGCAACAAAAGUACCAGAUGGAAUAGUCCUAAUGACCAAAUUUAGCAUUUGGAAAUCACUCAAAACCCAAAUGCUAUCUCCACAGUCCACCCCUCCCUCUCCC